UUAAGAUCUCUGGUUCCAUGCACAAAAUAAGCAUAGUAUACUAGAAUACGUGGUUGAAUGAAUUGCCCACAGCCACCCAUGAAGAUUAGAAUCUUGGCGUCCUGAGUUGCAAUCUCCUAUUCCAUACUGUUUCCCUUAAAAAAAGAAAAGUCUCCAAAAUCAACUUCUGCAGCUCAGUGACAGCCAUGAAUGCCCAACUGAUGAACUGGGCUCAGUGCCACAUAUGCAUGCUAUCACAUGUAUUUAAAUGGAUCAUGGAUUUCAAACUAUUUUACCAACUACUCACAAUGAGAAAUGCAUAUCAUGACCUAGUGUAUGCAUACUUACAUAGAGGAUUGUAUCAGUCAGAGUCUAACCAGGAAAUUUAGUUCAGGGACUUGUUUGUACUGAUGAUGAUAAGAAAUCACAUAAUGAACUGAGUAGCAACAGUAAGAAAUCAAUUUUCCCUAAGUUGGGGAACCGAGGGAUGAGGAAGAACUAAAAUCUGAAACCCUGGUGUGUGAUGGUGGUGAUGCAACUUUUGCUUGAGUCAAAGGGAAGAAGGAAAUACCUUGACUUUAUUUAUUUUUAUUUUUUUUGUACCGGGGAUCGAACUUGGAACCUUGCGCUUGUGAGGCAGGCGGCAGCACCACUGAGCUAAAAUUUAAGUGACACAUAAAACUCUACACAUUUAUGGGAUACUAUGUGAUACUCUGACAAACUGCAUACAUUUUGUAAUCUUCAAAUCAGGGCUGAAUUCAGCUGGCACAGGAACCUGGGAAGUGCAACCCCCAAAGGUCAGUCUCCUCUUACCUUAUACAGCUGAGCAGAAGAAUGAGGCAGGAUGCUGAGAUCCAACAGAUACAGUAACUAAUAUGAAGUUUCCUGAAACAGUGCUUACUUAUAGAGCUUACUAAGUGCAAUGCCCUCUGAAGUUAGUAUUUUUUAUUCUUUCUUUUAACUUAGACAUGCCUCAUAAUGACUCAUAAUUCAACAAUGAGUGGAAAAAUACUCUUUGGACCAGUGGGAGAUA
RNAcentral lists this long non-coding RNA (1012 nucleotides) under Heterocephalus glaber (naked mole-rat). RNAcentral describes it as "lncRNA (ENSHGLG00100045183.1)". Lineage: Eukaryota; Metazoa; Chordata; Mammalia; Rodentia; Bathyergidae. The record is from RNAcentral.